GAUGAACGCUAGCGGCAGGCCUAAUACAUGCAAGUCGAACGAGAUUACGAGGCUUGCUUCUUAUGAAAGUGGCGCACGGGUGCGUAACGCGUAUGCAACCUACCUUAAUCAGGGGGAUAGCCCGAAGAAAUUCGGAUUAAGACCGCAUAAAAACACAGGAUAGCAUUAUCCAAUGUUCAAAUAUUUAUAGGAUUAAGAUGGGCAUGCGUGUCAUUAGCUAGUUGGCGGGGUAACGGCCCACCAAGGCGACGAUGACUAGGGGAUCUGAGAGGAUGACCCCCCACACUGGUACUGAGACACGGACCAGACUCCUACGGGAGGCAGCAGUAAGGAAUAUUGGUCAAUGGAGGGAACUCUGAACCAGCCAUGCCGCGUGCAGGAAGACAGCCCUCUGGGUCGUAAACUGCUUUUAUUCGGGAAUAAACCUUUCUACGUGUAGGAAGCUGAAUGUACCGAAGGAAUAAGGAUCGGCUAACUCCGUG
This 482-nucleotide ribosomal RNA is filed under the name uncultured bacterium. RNAcentral's name for it is "partial 16S ribosomal RNA". It matches the Rfam family "Bacterial small subunit ribosomal RNA", at positions 28 to 507 of the family's 1533-position model. The record is from RNAcentral.